Molecule: ribosomal RNA, 370 nt
Filed under: uncultured organism
Description: bacterial SSU rRNA
Rfam family: Bacterial small subunit ribosomal RNA
Source: RNAcentral
CGAACUGUGCGAACGUUAUUCGGAAUCGCUGGGCUUAAAGGGUGCGUAGGCGGUUUUCUAAGUCAGGUGUGAAAUCUUCCGGCUCAACCGGAAAACUGCGCCUGAUACUGGAGGACUGGAGUGAGGCAGGGGUGUGUGGAACUUCCGGUGGAGCGGUGAAAUGUGUAGAUAUCGGAAGGAACGCCAGCAGCGAAAGCGGCACACUGGGCCUUUUCUGACGCUGAGGCACGAAAGCCAGGGGAGCGAACGGGAUUAGAUACCCCGGUAGUCCUGGCCGUAAACACUGAGCACUAGAGGAGGGGGGUUCGCCCUUCUUUCUCGUAGCGAAAGCGUUAAGUGCUCCGCCUGGGGAGGUAUGGUCGCAAGGCUG